Molecule: small nuclear RNA, 318 nt
Filed under: Erinaceus europaeus (western European hedgehog)
Lineage: Eukaryota; Metazoa; Chordata; Mammalia; Eulipotyphla; Erinaceidae
Description: 7SK RNA
Rfam family: 7SK RNA
About the family: 7SK was discovered as an abundant small nuclear RNA in the mid-70s but a possible function has only recently been suggested. Two independent studies have found that 7SK RNA binds the CDK9/cyclin T complex (known as elongation factor P-TEFb).
Source: Rfam by way of RNAcentral
UGAUGUGAGGAGAAUCUCGUUGAGACAUCUGUCACUAGAUUCCAGAUUGCCAGGGUUGAUUCAGCUGAUCUACCUGGCUAGGUGGGUGUCUACUCCCUCUCUCACUGCUCUAUAUGUGUCCCUCCCAAAACUAUGUGAUCAGUCCAAGAAGACAACUUUCCCUAAAUAAAUGGAGCUAGUCUUUGGUUAAGAGCAUACAUAGUUGUGCUCCCCUGCCAGAACCUCCAAAGAAGUUCUCAAUUAUAAUCAUUCUUAGAAUGACAUUUGUUGGGAGUCGGGCGGUAGCACAGCGGGUUAAGCGCAGGUGGCGCUAAGCAC